AAUGGGGGAAACCCUGAUGCAGCAACGCCGCGUGAGCGAUGAAGGCCUUCGGGUUGUAAAGCUCUGUCUUCAGGGACGAUAAUGACGGUACCUGAGGAGGAAGCCACGGCUAACUACGUGCCAGCAGCCGCGGUAAUACGUAGGUGGCAAGCGUUGUCCGGAAUUACUGGGCGUAAAGGGUGCGUAGGUGGUUUUUUAAGUCAGAAGUGAAAGGCUACGGCUCAACCGUAGUAAGCUUUUGAAACUAGAGAACUUGAGUGCAGGAGAGGAGAGUAGAAUUCCUAGUGUAGCGGUGAAAUGCGUAGAUAUUAGGAGGAAUACCAGUAGCGAAGGCGGCUCUCUGGACUGUAACUGACACUGAGGCACGAAAGCGUGGGGAGCAAA
RNAcentral lists this ribosomal RNA (384 nucleotides) under uncultured bacterium. RNAcentral describes it as "bacterial SSU rRNA". It matches the Rfam family "Bacterial small subunit ribosomal RNA", at positions 370 to 772 of the family's 1533-position model. The record is from RNAcentral.